Neodiprion virginianus is the source of this 1293-nucleotide long non-coding RNA. RefSeq lists it as uncharacterized. The record is from RefSeq and is a predicted model, not a curated record. Lineage: Eukaryota; Metazoa; Arthropoda; Insecta; Hymenoptera; Diprionidae. The transcript has 2 exons.
UCGAGGCGAACGAUUAUGUGAACCUGGCAAUAAGGGGAAUGAAAAGCAUGUGGGUAACGUGGGAUGACGUGGCCGGUCGUGGGUAUCUGCGGGAAGAAGAGUGUACGGCAUCGCUGCAGUGUGCAACUUGGCGAACUUGGCUGAGCUUCAGGACUGAGUUUCGGAAAAGGCUGCGACAUGGCUGCCGCAGGAUCGUCGAUGGUCGGUAAUGGCUUAGUCAUAUAAUAAAUAUGACAUUGAUUUUGAAGUGGCUCGGUGACCACGAUGAGAAGUCGUUCGGACCAGGUACUGAUUCGAGGUGGAAUUAAAAGCAAGAAAACCGGAGCUGAUAACUUGAGGCCGGGGGUCAUAUAUGAUACGUAACGCAAACGUAACUGGAAGACGAGAGCAGUGUCCACUACACGAGUUUUGAGAUGAUAUCAGAGCCUCAUUGAACGCGGAAGAGAUCUUCUCAUAGCGGACUAAACUUCUCGAUAUUUUAGCGGAUACCUCGUGUGCGUCAAUCUCACGAUGUUUUGGAAGGUUUCCUGAAAUCUCUGAUAGUCCAAUUAGUAGUUAGAGUUUCUACGCAUCUAAUCUCGAAUGGAAGGUUUCAGGAUCCGGAAUCUCAGAGAAAGAAGGCUUGGAUUCUGGUUGGAUUUUUUCGGGCAAGAAUUCGUGGAAUUUGAAGAAUGCUUGUCUAGACAUUAAGAUACCUCUAUCGCUGCGAAGGAUAUCGUUUUCUGAGUUCCUGGGGGUCCGAUUAGUCAGAAAAUGGUCGUACAAAUCGAAUCUGAGACUACAAAUUUUUGGCUCCGAAAAUUAAAAAAAAAUGUUCAAUAUCUCGCGCACGGGGCAACCCGCAUACUUGUCCGCAUUAUUCUCGCUUCGUGCACCUGCAGCUUCCACCUCCAUGUUGCGAAAUCCGGGUGAACUUGUGCUGCCCCUUCCGCAUUCUGAGCUGUAUCAGCAUCUCUGCCGGACGGAGGAGACCCGCUCUUGAUGGCGGCUCGUCAUCUAGUCUUCUCCACCUCCUGUUUCCCACGUUUCUAUGUUUCUAUGUUGCUGCUUUCUUAGCUUUAUUCUGCUUUCUUGUCAUUUCUUUUCUUUUUCGCUUUUUUUCUGACAUUGUCUUCGCCGUCUUUCUCUGUUCUAUUCUCCGUUCUAAUUUUUAUCGCUAGAUCUUAAAUAGUAAUAUAGAACUAGGCUAAGGUUUUGGAAUUAAGGCUCUGUUUCUUUUUAAUUUUGCAAUAAUGUUUUCCAAUAUUGUUAUGGAAAAGAUGAAAAAUAAACCAUUAAACCAUUAAACCCCUU